Molecule: non-coding RNA, 78 nt
Organism: Siniperca chuatsi (mandarin fish)
Lineage: Eukaryota; Metazoa; Chordata; Actinopteri; Centrarchiformes; Sinipercidae
Source: the annotation of a RefSeq genome assembly
GCCUCGUUGGCGCAGUAGGCAGCGCGUCAGUCUCAUAAUCUGAAGGUCGUGAGUUCGAGCCUCACACGGGCAUUUGUA